Molecule: ribosomal RNA, 1139 nt
Filed under: uncultured bacterium
Lineage: Bacteria
Description: bacterial SSU rRNA
Rfam family: Bacterial small subunit ribosomal RNA
Source: RNAcentral
AGUCGAGAAGCUUCCGCAAUGGGGGAAACCCUGACGGAGCGACGCCGCGUGAAUGAAGAAGGUCCUAUGGAUUGUAAAAUUCUGUCAGAUUGGGAAGAAAGCCAUGGGGUUAAUACCCUCAUGGUUUGACGGUACCAUCAGAGGAAGCACCGGCUAACUCCGUGCCAGCAGCCGCGGUAAUACGGAGGGUGCAAGCGUUGUUCGGAUUCACUGGGUAUAAAGGGUGCGCAGGCGGCCUGUUAAGUCAGGGGUGAAAUAUGACGGCUCAACCGUCAAACUGCCCCUGAAACUGACAGGCUUGAGUCCGGGAGAGGAAGGUGGAAUUCCAGGUGUAGCGGUGAAAUGCGUAAAUAUCUGGAGGAACACCGGUGGCGAAGGCGGCCUUCUGGCCCGGAACUGACGCUCAGGCACGAAAGCAUGGGGAGCGAACGGGAUUAGAUACCCCGGUAGUCCAUGCCGUAAACGAUGGGUACUAGGUGUUGGAGGAUUCUACCCCUUCAGUGCCGCAGCUAACGCAUUAAGUACCCCACCUGGGGAGUACGAUCGCAAGGUUGAAACUCAAAGGAAUUGACGGGGGCCCGCACAAGCGGUGGAGCAUGUGGUUUAAUUCGAUGCAACGCGAGGAACCUUACCUGGGCUUGACAUGCAGGGGACAGGUGUAGAAAUACACUCUUCUUCGGACUCCUGUACAGGUGCUGCAUGGCUGUCGUCAGCUCGUGUCGUGAAAUGUUAGGUUAAGUCCUGCAACGAGCGCAACCCCUAUCUUUAGUUGCCAUCAGGUUAUGCUGGGGACUCUAGAGAGACUGCCGGUGACAAACCGGAGGAAGGUGGGGACGACGUCAAGUCAUCAUGGCCCUUACGCCCAGGGCUACACACGUGCUACAAUGGUCGGUACAAUGGGCUGCGAAACAGUGAUGUGGAGCGAAUCCCAAAAAGCCGGCCUCAGUUCGGAUCGUAGUCUGCAACUCGACUACGUGAAGUUGGAAUCGCUAGUAAUCGCGUAUCAGAACGACGCGGUGAAUACGUUCCCGGGCCUUGUACACACCGCCCGUCAAGUCAACCGAGUUGGUUGCACCCCAAGUCGCUGAGCUAACCCGUAAGGGAGGCAGGUGCCCAAGGUGUGAUUAGCGAGGGGGACU